UUCUUUUUAGGUUUUCUACCUUGUUUGCGUUGUCUUGCUCAACUGGGACAAGCUGCCUUUCCUGCUCUCUCUUGUCCUCAGUUGUUUUCUUCUUCUUCUGGGGUGGCAUCGAGGGUUUUUUCAUGGCUGAGACCACACUAGGCGCCAUUGUUGGGAAGUAAAUCUCAAAGAGACUCGAACACAACAAACAAAGUAGGAAAGCAAUUGUGAUCUUGUUCAAAAAUUAUCCGUCCCUUUGCAACGGGGUAGGGCUCCCCUUUUAUAGUGACUCAAAAGUCCUUUUACAUGCCAUGAAUACCCUU
RNAcentral lists this long non-coding RNA (302 nucleotides) under Setaria viridis. RNAcentral describes it as "long non-coding RNA (SVIR_LNC009756)". The record is from RNAcentral. Lineage: Eukaryota; Viridiplantae; Streptophyta; Magnoliopsida; Poales; Poaceae.